This 99-nucleotide non-coding RNA is filed under the name uncultured Ruminococcus sp. RNAcentral describes it as "THF riboswitch". It matches the Rfam family "THF (Tetrahydrofolate) riboswitch aptamer". Rfam says of the family: THF riboswitch presents a pseudoknot that joins P1-P2 and the loop of P3 and two THF binding. Lineage: Bacteria; Bacillati; Bacillota; Clostridia; Eubacteriales; Oscillospiraceae. The record is from RNAcentral.
CAGAGUAGAAAUCUGUGCGUUAAGUGCCUGAGGGACGGGGAGUUGCCAACAGGACGAAAGAGGAGAGAUCCUUUGCGGUGCAGGUUUCGCAUCCCGCUG